GAUGAACGCUGGCGGCGUGCCUAAUACAUGCAAGUCGAGCGAACGGACGAGAAGCUUGCUUCUCUGAUGUUAGCGGCGGACGGGUGAGUAACACGUGGAUAACCUACCUAUAAGACUGGGAUAACUUCGGGAAACCGGAGCUAAUACCGGAUAAUAUUUUGAACCGCAUGGUUCAAAAGUGAAAGACGGUCUUGCUGUCACUUAUAGAUGGAUCCGCGCUGCAUUAGCUAGUUGGUAAGGUAACGGCUUACCAAGGCAACGAUGCAUAGCCGACCUGAGAGGGUGAUCGGCCACACUGGAACUGAGACACGGUCCAGACUCCGACGGGAGGCAGCAGUAGGGAAUCUUCCGCAAUGGGCGAAAGCCUGACGGAGCAACGCCGCGUGAGUGAUGAAGGUCUUCGGAUCGUAAAACUCUGUUAUUAGGGAAGAACAUAUGUGUAAGUAACUGUGCACAUCUGGACGGUACCUAAUCAGAAAGCCACGGCUAACUACGU
Molecule: ribosomal RNA, 496 nt
Filed under: uncultured bacterium
Lineage: Bacteria
Description: partial 16S ribosomal RNA
Rfam family: Bacterial small subunit ribosomal RNA
Source: RNAcentral